CCUAAAAAAUGUUGAUUCAGAUAUUUAGAGAGAAAGGGAUCUAGCUUAUGUUGAAGGUGAAGAAUGGUUUCAUCGCCAAAACCCUAAUCUCAUCGUGGCCGUCGCUGCCGCCAUCGCCACCGCCGUCGAGCAAAGGUGCCUCCUCCACUAACUCAUCUCUAGAUCUGGUAGCAACGCCCAAACCUCUAACAUCUACGCCUUUCUCUAGCACCGCCGAUCUUCAGCAAAAAGCUGUGACGUCAAUACAAAUCCCAAACUCACCUCUCAUUUCGCACUCUGUCUUUCCCGGCUCAAAUUACGAAUGGCCGAUCAGAAUCCUGCGGAGCCAGAACCGAAGAGCGGCUCCGAUGCGUCUUCUCGGAUCGAGAAAGUGAGUGAGUGGUUGGCGAAGACAUUCGAAGCCACCGGCAAACCCGUCCCAGAGUUUGAGUACACGCCUCGCAACGUCUCGCAUUUGCACGGCCUCUUAAUCGUCUCCAAAGCCAAAGAUGAAGCUGCGCGUCUCGUCGCUCGCGAUUUCCGCCAGAAGGCCUCUGAGUACCGAUCCCAAGGCAUGCUUUUGGUGAUCAGUAUCGGGCCACUGAUACUGUAAUUAAUGGAGCUGGGAAGCUGAAGUUGGUAUUUGGUAUCUUUACCAGAGUUGCAAUCAAACAGCUCGACAGGAUCACUGGCCAGGGACAAUUUGUGAUAUCAGUAGAAGAUACCUUGAAGAUCAUAAUCUGCAGGAAACAACACAAGAAGCUCUAUUCCCUUGAGAUGGAACUUGCUGCUAUUAGGAAUGAGGGUUUUGUUUUGAAGCAACUGCUUGAGACCAAUGGGAUUUACUCUGAGGGAAAGCUUUUGGUCAUGAUAGGUGUACUCACAACAUUUGGCUGCCAGAAGAAUAGGGACGCCAUUCACAAUGCUUGGAUGGGAAGUGGUGCAGCUUUGAAGAAACUGGAGGAUGGAAGGGCAUUGUUGCAGGAUUUGUUAUUGGGAGAAGUAAAAAUCAUGGAAACAAUCAGGAUAAGGACAUUGAUCGUGAGAAUAGGCUGACUAAUGACUUCUUAAUUCUUAUAAAUGGGAUGCACUGCAAUUAUGUUCAUCAAUAAUGAAUAACUAUCUCAAGGAAAGUUUUAAUUUAUUGUUAUUGGCAAAUAAUUGUUGCUUUAGUUUUAAUUCAAUGUGUUGAUUUUCGAGCAAAAGUAUUUGGGAUCAAAUGGUCAAUGUUACUUUGUUGCAGCUUGUCUGUAAUCAACUACAUAUAAGAGUUACAUUAUUAUUACUUUAUAAUAAUUAGUUAAUUAUCUGUACUCCUAAUUUCUUCAAGUUGAAUGUGUGUGCUGUGUCUAUAUAUAUGGCCAAGUUGUGGAAUAGAAUUUAGGUAAAUAUUGUGAUGAGUAUAUAUUUAAUUAGCAUAGGGUAGCACUAUAGGAUAAUAUUGCAUGCUAGCUUAAUUUUAUUUGAGCUAAUUAUUUCUGGAAAUAGUUUGAGUCUUGUUGGUAUAUUCGGGUUUUGUGUGAUUAAAAAGUAACUUAGCAAGUUGCAAGAAACUGAGUUUUUUUUUUUUAAAUUUGGGGGGAGGACUUAAAUUUGAUGUUGAAAAUAAAAAAGCAUGAAAAGAGAAAUGGGGACCAAACUCACGCAAAGAAGACUUGAAAAUAACGUGUCUUAUCAGCAAAAGUUAUUAGCUUUUAAAAUUAAUUCCAAAUUGUGAUCAAAUCUCAAAGUUAAUUAUAGAAGUAUCGGGACUCUUGUACAAAUGGUAUCCUAAUUAAUCCCCCAAUUAUAUGAUAAUAUUUCUUGUGUGCCUUUUUGCAUAAUGCAAUCAAUUUUUCUAUUUCCAUGCUAUUUUGUGAUUGGACAUGUAUUUGACAUUUUAAGCAUCAUUGACUUUUUUUUUUAUCAAAUUAUAUCUAUGUCUAUAUAGUCCUUGAAGAUAGUGAGAGUCCAAUGGAGCUAGAUGUUUUCAAUUUCAAAGUCCUAGGUAUAACACUUGCUAUGUAUAAUGUUGAUGAGAUUUGAUUCAUUUUAUAGUUUCUACAAGCAUAUACCAUUAUGUUUUAGUUAAAUGUAUAAACCCUUUUUUUGUUUUUAUUGUUGUGUGUAAACAUGCUUGCUUUUGAUAAUUUUAUAGUCUAUUUGAGCGUUUGCUGAAUCAUCAAUGUCCCUGGCAUUUUCAAAGAGGUGGCCACUUUACUUGAGUACUAAGAAUACAAUUUUCAAGAAAUAUGAUAGUAGGUGAUUAUUCUCAUAUUUCUGAUUUAAUUUAUAGUGUCAACUGUCACUGUUGUAUGCCAAAUUUCUUAGUAAUUUAGACUUAUUGACUUACUCUCUAUUUUGUUGAUAUUUAAACUUAUUUACAGUUUGAUAGUGUUACAGAUUUAAAGAUAUAUUUCAGGAGGUGUAUGAACUAUGAAGAGAGAUGGAAGAAAAAAUUUGAAGAACAUUCGUAUGACAAUGACUUCAACUUAUUACUUAUAUAUAACUUAUGUUCAUUCCUUUAUUUUCUCCCUUGCUACUAUUAUACCCUAACUUGAUGUAACAUAAUUAUAGGCUUGUAACAUUUUUUGUUAUUUAAAUUUGUAACAUAAUUUAUUAUU
Molecule: non-coding RNA, 2582 nt
Organism: Arachis ipaensis
Lineage: Eukaryota; Viridiplantae; Streptophyta; Magnoliopsida; Fabales; Fabaceae
Source: RefSeq, a predicted model, not a curated record